RNAcentral lists this ribosomal RNA (560 nucleotides) under Penicillium citrinum. RNAcentral describes it as "eukaryotic LSU rRNA". The stretch from base 125 to 278 matches the Rfam family "5.8S ribosomal RNA". The record is from RNAcentral. Lineage: Eukaryota; Fungi; Ascomycota; Eurotiomycetes; Eurotiales; Aspergillaceae.
UCGGGGCCAACCUCCCACCCGUGUUGCCCGAACCUAUGUUGCCUCGGCGGGCCCCGCGCCCGCCGACGGCCCCCCUGAACGCUGUCUGAAGUUGCAGUCUGAGACCUAUAACGAAAUUAGUUAAAACUUUCAACAACGGAUCUCUUGGUUCCGGCAUCGAUGAAGAACGCAGCGAAAUGCGAUAACUAAUGUGAAUUGCAGAAUUCAGUGAAUCAUCGAGUCUUUGAACGCACAUUGCGCCCUCUGGUAUUCCGGAGGGCAUGCCUGUCCGAGCGUCAUUGCUGCCCUCAAGCCCGGCUUGUGUGUUGGGCCCCGUCCCCCCCGCCGGGGGGACGGGCCCGAAAGGCAGCGGCGGCACCGCGUCCGGUCCUCGAGCGUAUGGGGCUUCGUCACCCGCUCUAGUAGGCCCGGCCGGCGCCAGCCGACCCCCAACCUUUAAUUAUCUCAGGUUGACCUCGGAUCAGGUAGGGAUACCCGCUGAACUUAAGCAUAUCAAUAAGCGGAGGAUUACCGAGUGCGGGCCCCUCGGGGCCCAACCUCCCCCGUGUUGCCGAACUAUA